GCCCUGCUCCAAGGCUAGAUGAAAUCUUCACUCUUGCCAGAGCCAUUCUCAAUAAACAUUUGCUGAAGAAAUGCUUGCUACCUGAAUGAAUGAUCAGAAGCCGGAAAAAUCAGCUUUCAAAAGGAGCUUAGGAACAAGCAGGACAAAUGGAAACACUGCCAUCAAUUUCAGAAGCCUUUCCAACAGAACUGCCAGAGCCUUCAGGCUUCUUUGGUGGGACAACGACGUGGCCAAGAAGUGGAAAGAUCCCUGGACAUUGGGAUCUAGACACAGAUGUGACACUAAAGUGCCGUGAGGCCUGGGAGAAAUCACCUAAUUGCUCAGGCCUCAGUUUCCUCCAUAGAGAGAGAAAAUCCCACCUCAAAGGAUCUGGAGAACUGGCCAGAGAUCACCCCAGAAGAGAGUACAGGAGCCAGGAUUUGGACGCAGGUCUCUCUGACUCAAAUCCUUUUCUCUUUCCCUUACUUCAUCCUCCCCCUCAUCUCCUGAAAAUUAGAAGCCGGAUCCUGGAAUACACACAGAAAACCCUCCACCCAUUUUAAGGAUACAUCAAGAUCAAAACUCAUUGAUAUUGUAAUCUUACUAGUUUGAACUUUAAAACAUUUUACUGCCAUAUGGGGACUGGCUUCAAAGA
Long non-coding RNA from Homo sapiens (human), 634 nucleotides. RefSeq lists it as uncharacterized. The record is from RefSeq and is a predicted model, not a curated record. The transcript is spliced from 3 exons. NCBI's taxonomy places the organism in Eukaryota, Metazoa, Chordata, Mammalia, Primates, Hominidae.